ACACAACCCCCCUAGUCUGUGUGCAUGAGUUGGGUUUGUCUAAAAACUACUGUGAUGCAAUGAAGGUAAAAGGCCUUGCCUGGGGUGGGGGUGGGGGGGCAAAGUGGUAUUCUGGGUUCUCUCCUGACCACUGAGGGUGCAGGAGUGGCCCAUUUCUCUGGCCAUGCUAGGGAGGUGGAGCACAAGCACAUGCAUUAGGACCUGAAAGAUGGUGAAGUAUUCCUAGGAAGGGCAAAGCCAGAGGAAACUCUGGGGAGGUCCUUAUCAGUCUGGACAUGCAAAUCAAUUGUACCACUGAGGUGUAAGAGCUAAAAACUAAUCGAACCAUCUAGUAGCUGGUUCCCUAUGACGUUUCCCCCAGUAUAGCUAGCACUCUCUCAAAACACACACACACACACACCAAAAAAAUUCCACAGUUUUAUCCUAUAAAGGGAAUGAUUAGAAAUCUUGGGGCUGAAACGAUAUCAACCUAUUCUCAGACUUUAAAUGGGUAAGAAGCCUGGCUCAGUGGUAAAGAGCAAGGAGUGGAAUGUGAGUGAUUCCUGGGAUAUUUUUGGAAAGCAGCACUGGUACUGUGGGAUGAGUCGGUGGCCAGGUUAAAGUUCAUGACACUGACACUCAUCAGACCCCAGAAAAGGUGUUGGUUGAUAUAGACAGCAAGAUGUUGGCCAUGGAAGUCGGAAUCCGCUAAGGAGUGUGUAACAACUCACCUGUCAAAUCAACUAGCUGUGAAAAUGGAUGGUGCUGGAUCGUCAGAGGCACCUGAGCUUUGCUUCCUUCCCUGUGGGUACAGUGCUGUGAUGAGCCGCUGGCUGUAGUGAGCCUCGAAUUAUAGAGUGCAGGACUGAGUGGAGCCAAUGUGGGUGCAGAUCUUGGUGGUAGAAGCAAAUAUUCAUAGGAGAAAUUUGAAAGCCAAAGUGGAGAAGGGUUCCAUGUGAACAACAGUUGAACAUGGUCAGUCAGUCCCAAGAGAUAUGUGAGGACUUUUCUGAAGAAACGAGCAAUGGCC
Molecule: non-coding RNA, 1009 nt
Organism: Mus musculus (house mouse)
Lineage: Eukaryota; Metazoa; Chordata; Mammalia; Rodentia; Muridae
Source: Rfam